CGUGCGGUUCUAUUUUGUUGGUUUCUAGAGUCGCCGUAAUGAUUAAUAGGGAUAGUUGGGGGCAUUUGUAUUCAGUUGCUAGAGGUGAAAUUCUUGGAUUUACUGAAGACAAACUACUGCGAAAGCAUUUGCCAAGGAUGUUUUCAUUAAUCAGGAACGAAAGUUAGGGGAUCGAAGACGAUCAGAUACCGUCGUAGUCUUAACCAUAAACUAUGCCGACUAGGGAUCGGACGGUGUUAUUUUUUGACCCGUUCGGCACCUUACGAGAAAUCAAAGUGCUUGGGCUCCAGGGGGAGUAUGGUCGCAAGGCUGAAACUUAAAGAAAUUGACGGAAGGGCACCACCAGGGGUGGAGCCUGCGGCUUAAUUUGACUCAACACGG
RNAcentral lists this ribosomal RNA (381 nucleotides) under uncultured fungus. Its description in RNAcentral is "SSU rRNA". It matches the Rfam family "Eukaryotic small subunit ribosomal RNA", at positions 827 to 1208 of the family's 1831-position model. Lineage: Eukaryota; Fungi. The record is from RNAcentral.